CCUACGGGGGGCAGCAGUGAGGAAUAUUGGUCAAUGGGCGGGAGCCUGAACCAGCCAAGUCGCGUGAGGGACGACGGUCCUAUGGAUUGUAAACCUCUUUUGUCGGGGAACAAAGGCGCCCACGGGUGGGCGGAUGAGUGUACCCGAAGAAAAAGCAUCGGCUAACUCCGUGCCAGCAGCCGCGGUAAUACGGAGGAUGCGAGCGUUAUCCGGAUUUAUUGGGUUUAAAGGGUGCGUAGGCGGACAGUCAAGUCAGCGGUAAAAAUGCGGUGCUCAACGCCGUACAGCCGUUGAAACUGGCAGUCUUGAGUGGGCGAGAAGUAUGCGGAAUUCCCGGUGUAACGGUGGAAUGUGUAGAUAUCGGGAAGAACACCAAUGGCGAAGGCAGGUCUCUGGGCCGUUACUGACGCUGAGGAGCGAAAGCGUGGGGAGCGAACAGGAUUAGAUACCCCAGUAGUC
This 459-nucleotide ribosomal RNA is filed under the name uncultured bacterium. Its description in RNAcentral is "partial 16S ribosomal RNA". It matches the Rfam family "Bacterial small subunit ribosomal RNA", at positions 338 to 795 of the family's 1533-position model. The record is from RNAcentral.